GAGAAAAAGAAAGUACAAAUUUAUUGCUGAGCAAUAAAGACCCAGUGGGAUGUUUUCCAGAGCCUGGGCCCAGAGCCCUGGGGCUUUGGGUUUAUAUACCUUGUUCCAAACAGCAUUAAACAUUACAUAUUCAUAUAUUGCAGCAAAAUCAAACCAAUGAACAGGGGCGAAGCCCUUCCUAUGUCCAUGUAAAUAAGGAACGUUAAUGCAUCCACACGAAACACAUAGAACUGGGCAGAAGCCCCACUCAAUGCAAGGAGGUUUAUUUCUGUCAAAAUGUGGAGAUGGAGAGGCUGUAUUUGCAGAGGGCAUUUGAAGCUGAUACCCUGGUUCAAUUUAUUUUUCAUUUUCUUCCCAUCUAAGGCCUCCAGAGCAAGGAACUAUCCUGCCUGACGUAGGUAAAGGGGUUCAUUUUUCAGUCAUCUAUUAAUCCAAUGAUGCAUGAAUUUUAACAGCUGCAUGAGGUCUUGUGGGGAGAGGAAGGUUUCCUAGAAUUGCAGAAUUGAGGGUCAUCUAGUCCCACCCCUGCAGUGCAGGAAACUUUUGCCCCUCGUGGGACUCAAACCCACAUCCCUGGGGUUAAGAGUCUCAUGCUCUGCCAAAUCAGACAUCUCAAAAGGAAAACAAGAUUGAAGGUAAGGGAGCCCCUUUGAGGAUAAGAUUAUUUGUUGGGACGGUUAAAAGUAUUACUGUCUCUUUAAGAAGUAAGCAGCAGAGGGAAUUCUGGGAAAAGGAAGGAAAAUGCAAAGCAAGAGCAACCCAUUUUUCUUUUGUUAUUUCUGCUGAUUUUGACUGGAAUGAAUCCUCUCAAAGGGCCCUUGGAAAACUGACCAAUGUGCUUUUGGCAGAUAAAUGUUUUUUAUGUCAGUCACUCUGGUCUGGAGAGAAAAUUCCUGCUGGGCCUGAGAGGCAGAUUUAGUCUCCUCAGGAGAUACUGAGGUGGGCUUCAUUUUCCAACAAAUAAAAGAAAGGGAGCAGGGUCUCUCCAGAGAACGAGGCUCCUGAGAACGUGUAGAGUUCGGCUCCUGAGUCAGCGUCAGAAAAAGACACACGUCCCCCUUCAUAGUCCAGAGUCACCCGGAUCCUCCUGGGCUCCUCACUCAGGGCCAGAGGAGAGUAAUGAGGGGAGGUGCAGGCCAAGUACUCAUCUCCCCUCUUCCCCACAGCCCAGAUCCCUCUCUCAGGCUUUAAGGGGAAGAUGCCCUUUCUCUCCACAGACUUCCUGGCGACCCCA
Molecule: non-coding RNA, 1234 nt
Organism: Podarcis lilfordi (Lilford's wall lizard)
Lineage: Eukaryota; Metazoa; Chordata; Lepidosauria; Squamata; Lacertidae
Source: the annotation of a GenBank genome assembly